CUGGCAGCUGAAGCACUUCAAACUGUGUUCCCACUUCAACUGUUUGGGUUUUGCUUCAAAUAUCUCAGCCUUUUCCCCUUCUUUUCCUGCAGACAAUGCCAUGACCCAGAUGGGAGUGCAGAGCAGGUCUGGACUGACAGGACAGUCAUCCAUGACCACAUCAGCCUGACAUUCCCUGAUGAUGGCAACGGGAUGAACUCGGAGCAGCUGCACAAAAUACUAAGUAUUUGGUACCCGAAGCCGAGCACGCAGAUCAUCCUGGGAGGACAAAGAGCCAAAACACAGCUGGUUUCCAAAGCUGUCUUCCCCCACACUUGUCAUGUGGGCACAGGGAUACCACACUUGCAAGGGCUUCUCCAAAGGUUUUUCUGCCAGGAGUGCUCCAGGCUUUCAGAAGGUAACUUUCCAGCCCAGAACAGAAACACGGACCUGCUGCC
Molecule: long non-coding RNA, 437 nt
Filed under: Manacus vitellinus (golden-collared manakin)
Lineage: Eukaryota; Metazoa; Chordata; Aves; Passeriformes; Pipridae
Description: lncRNA (ENSMVIG00005012192.1)
Source: RNAcentral